Long non-coding RNA from Aedes albopictus (Asian tiger mosquito), 1401 nucleotides. RefSeq lists it as uncharacterized. The record is from RefSeq and is a predicted model, not a curated record. The transcript is spliced from 2 exons. Lineage: Eukaryota; Metazoa; Arthropoda; Insecta; Diptera; Culicidae.
AACGUUCCCUAAAGCACUUUUUUGCGCACUGUGCCGCACAUUUAAACCAAAAUUGCAAGAAAACGAUAAGAGCUAGAAGUUUUGUGUCAAAAAUCGAAUUGUAGAGUGGAACAGGGGUAACAACUUUGCCGAAGAAAGAAUUUUAAUUCAUUACGCAAGUUUCAAAGUUAAUUGACAAAAUCAAAUUAAAACACACUACUUUUGAGUUAUUUGCUCUAGAAAACUUAGUUAUUUAACUAAACCAAUCGAUUAAAAGAAGUCAUUUGAUAGAAAAUUCAAUAAUCUUUCGAAUAAGGGUAAAAAACUGCGAUAAGUUCGACCAUUUUAUAGUUAUAGCAAGUUAAGGCAAUGAGAGUCAAAAACAUGGGAAGUUCAAUAACUACGUAACGGUUGAGAUUUGACCAUAUGCGUAGAACAUUUUUUUUUCACCAUUUUAUGGUCCUCUAUCACCCUUUAAAAAGUUUGCACUCGCGAACGUAACACCCUGUAUAUUAACAACUUACACGCUAAGGUCAGUUUACCCAAAUAUGGGUGAAAUUUACUCAUAAUUGAUGAAAAGUACACAUUCGCAUUUUAUGGGUAAUGCGGCUUUACUCAAAAAUAGGUAAAGUCACUUUACUCAUAUGUGGGUAGAAUAUUUUUACUCAUAUAUGGGUAAAUUUUUGCUAUUUUUUUUCUAAAUAUUUCGAUAGAUUUCAGAUGAUUCAUAAAUAUUAAGUACAUUAAAAAUAGAAACAAAUAAACAUCAAAUUUUAUUUUACAAGAACACAAACACAACACUAACCAAUUAAAUUAAAAUCUCCGGUAGCUGGAUACAGGCGACAUCAGCUACACACCAAAUUUUCAUUGGAUGUUCCAGCAAUCUUUUUUGCUGGAUGUUCAUCAGCAAUGCAAUGUUUUGCUGAUACUCAGCUGUGGCAAGAUAUUUUGCCGAAAUUCAGCUUGCUUAUUUGCUGAUUUUGUUUCAGCAAUUACUUUUCUGCUGCUAAUCAGCAAUUCGUUUGACAUUCAGCAAUUGAUUUGGCACAUCGCCGUAAAUCAGCAAAAAUGUUUACAGAACGCAUAUCAGCAAUCAAUAUUUUACUGAACGCCAGCAAAAUUUCCAAGCUGUCACUUGCAAACGUCAGAGAAUUUCAUUCCGUACCGAACGCGUGUUUCUUGCUUCUUUGUGCAUGUUGAACCCGGAAUUCUUAAUUUUUGGCCAAUAGUAAUAGGAAUUUUCGAUUAGAAGACACAACAAAAUGAGAGGAGACGGUUAUGCUCGCAAGUUUGCGAUUCUACGUUAACGCCCGGAUACCAGCGGCUUCAACAUACUCAAACAAAACACUGUACAAAUCGAGGUAAAAAUAUGCGGAAACAUGCAUGAACAAUUUAUUCAAUAAAUAAUUGCUUAAAACGCUU